AAUCCAUAGGUUAAUGAGGCGAACCGGGGGAACUGAAACAUCUAAGUACCCCGAGGAAAAGAAAUCAACCGAGAUUCCCCCAGUAGCGGCGAGCGAACGGGGAGGAGCCCAGAGCCUGAAUCAGCAUGUGUGUUAGUGGAAGCGUCUGGAAAGGCGCGCGAUACAGGGUGACAGCCCCGUACACAAAAGCGCAUGUGCUGUGAGCUCGAUGAGUAGGGCGGGACACGUGGUAUCCUGUCUGAAUAUGGGGGGACCAUCCUCCAAGGCUAAAUACUCCUGACUGACCGAUAGUGAACCAGUACCGUGAGGGAAAGGCGAAAAGAACCCCGGCGAGGGGAGUGAAAAAGAACCUGAAACCGUGUACGUACAAGCAGUGGGAGCACAGGUUUACCUGUGUGACUGCGUACCUUUUGUAUAAUGGGUCAGCGACUUAUAUUCUGUAGCAAGGUUAACCGAAUAGGGGAGCCGGAGGGAAACCGAGUCUUAAUUGGGCGUUAAGUUGCAGGGUAUAGACCCGAAACCCGGUGAUCUAGCCAUGGGCAGGUUGAAGGUUGGGUAACACUAACUGGAGGACCGAACCGACUAAUGUUGAAAAAUUAGCGGAUGACCUGUGGCUGGGGGUGAAAGGCCAAUCAAACCGGGAGAUAGCUGGUUCUCCCCGAAAGCUAUUUAGGUAGCGCCUCGUGAAUUCAUCUCCGGGGGUAGAGCACUGUUUCGGCUAGGGGGCCAUCCCGGCUUACCAACCCGAUGCAAACUGCGAAUACCGGAGAAUGUUAUCACGGGAGACACACGGCGGGUGCUAACGUCCGUCGUGAAGAGGGAAACAACCCAGACCGCCAGCUAAGGUCCCAAAGUCAUGGUUAAGUGGGAAACGAUGUGGGAAGGCCCAGACAGCCAGGAUGUUGGCUUAGAAGCAGCCAUCAUUUAAAGAAAGCGUAAUAGCUCACUGGUCGAGUCGGCCUGCGCGGAAGAUGUAACGGGGCUAAACCAUGCACCGAAGCUGCGGCAGCGACACUGUGUGUUGUUGGGUAGGGGAGCGUUCUGUAAGCCUGUGAAGGUGUGUCGUGAGGCAUGCUGGAGGUAUCAGAAGUGCGAAUGCUGACAUAAGUAACGAUAAAGCGGGUGAAAAGCCCGCUCGCCGGAAGACCAAGGGUUCCUGUCCAACGUUAAUCGGGGCAGGGUGAGUCGACCCCUAAGGCGAGGCCGAAAGGCGUAGUCGAUGGGAAACGGGUUAAUAUUCCCGUACUUGGUGUUACUGCGAAGGGGGGACGGAGAAGGCUAUGUUGGCCGGGCGACGGUUGUCCCGGUUUAAGCGUGUAGGUGUGUGUUCCAGGUAAAUCCGGUUCACUUUAACACUGAGGCGUGACGACGAGGCACUACGGUGCUGAAGCAACAAAUGCCCUGCUUCCAGGAAAAGCCUCUAAGCAUCAGGUAACAUCAAAUCGUACCCCAAACCGACACAGGUGGUCAGGUAGAGAAUACCAAGGCGCUUGAGAGAACUCGGGUGAAGGAACUAGGCAAAAUGGUGCCGUAACUUCGGGAGAAGGCACGCUGACACGUAGGUGAAGUGAUUUACUCAUGGAGCUGAAGUCAGUCGAAGAUACCAGCUGGCUGCAACUGUUUAUUAAAAACACAGCACUGUGCAAACACGAAAGUGGACGUAUACGGUGUGACGCCUGCCCGGUGCCGGAAGGUUAAUUGAUGGGGUCAGCGCAAGCGAAGCUCCUGAUCGAAGCCCCGGUAAACGGCGGCCGUAACUAUAACGGUCCUAAGGUAGCGAAAUUCCUUGUCGGGUAAGUUCCGACCUGCACGAAUGGCGUAAUGAUGGCCAGGCUGUCUCCACCCGAGACUCAGUGAAAUUGAACUCGCUGUGAAGAUGCAGUGUACCCGCGGCAAGACGGAAAGACCCCGUGAACCUUUACUAUAGCUUGACACUGAACAUUGAGCCUUGAUGUGUAGGAUAGGUGGGAGGCUUUGAAGUGUGGACGCCAGUCUGCAUGGAGCCGACCUUGAAAUACCACCCUUUAAUGUUUGAUGUUCUAACGUGGACCCGUUACCCGGGUUGCGGACAGUGUCUGGUGGGUAGUUUGACUGGGGCGGUCUCCUCCUAAAGAGUAACGGAGGAGCACGAAGGUUGGCUAAUCCUGGUCGGACAUCAGGAGGUUAGUGCAAUGGCAUAAGCCAGCUUGACUGCGAGCGUGACGGCGCGAGCAGGUGCGAAAGCAGGUCAUAGUGAUCCGGUGGUUCUGAAUGGAAGGGCCAUCGCUCAACGGAUAAAAGGUACUCCGGGGAUAACAGGCUGAUACCGCCCAAGAGUUCAUAUCGACGGCGGUGUUUGGCACCUCGAUGUCGGCUCAUCACAUCCUGGGGCUGAAGUAGGUCCCAAGGGUAUGGCUGUUCGCCAUUUAAAGUGGUACGCGAGCUGGGUUUAGAACGUCGUGAGACAGUUCGGUCCCUAUCUGCCGUGGGCGCUGGAGAACUGAGGGGGGCUGCUCCUAGUACGAGAGGACCGGAGUGGACGCAUCACUGGUGUUCGGGUUGUCAUGCCAAUGGCACUGCCCGGUAGCUAAAUGCGGAAGAGAUAAGUGCUGAAAGCAUCUAAGCACGAAACUUGCCCCGAGAUGAGUUCUCCCUGAGACUUAGAGUCUCCUGAAGGAACGUUGAAGACGACGACGUUGAUAGGCCGGGUGUGUAAGCGCAGCGAUGCGUUGAGCUAACCGGUACUAAUGAACCGUGAGGCUUAACCUUACAACGCCG
Molecule: ribosomal RNA, 2757 nt
Filed under: Salmonella enterica subsp. enterica serovar Enteritidis
Lineage: Bacteria; Pseudomonadati; Pseudomonadota; Gammaproteobacteria; Enterobacterales; Enterobacteriaceae
Description: partial 23S ribosomal RNA
Rfam family: Bacterial large subunit ribosomal RNA
Source: RNAcentral